Molecule: ribosomal RNA, 496 nt
Filed under: uncultured bacterium
Lineage: Bacteria
Description: bacterial SSU rRNA
Rfam family: Bacterial small subunit ribosomal RNA
Source: RNAcentral
AGGACGAACGCUGGCGGCGUGCUUAACACAUGCAAGUCGAACGGGGAUAUUUAAGGAAGGGUUUCGGCCCGGAAUUGGAUAUUCGAGUGGCGGACGGGUGAGUAACGCGUGAGCAACCUGUCCCAGACAGGGGGAUAACACUUGGAAACAGGUGCUAAUACCGCAUAAGACCACGGCAUCACAUGGUGCAGGAGUAAAAGGUGCAAACCGGUUUGGGGUGGGCUCGCGUCCGAUUAGCCAGUUGGUGAGGUAACGGCCCACCAAAGCGACGAUCGGUAGCCGACCUGAGAGGGUGAUCGGCCACAUUGGAACUGAGAGACGGUCCAAACUCCUACGGGAGGCAGCAGUGGGGAAUAUUGGGCAAUGGGCGAAAGCCUGACCCAGCAACGCCGCGUGAGUGAAGAAGGCUUUCGGGUUGUAAAGCUCUGUUAUAGGGGACGAAGAGCGUGACGGUACCCUAUAAGGAAGCCCCGGCUAACUACGUGCCAGCAGCUGC